UACUUGCGACUAAUGCAUGGGCCAGGCUAUCUUAGUACUUAGUUAAGUAGGAUCAACUGCCCUGCCAUUCUUGCUGCAUUAAAUCGUAGGUGGCAAUAGAGCCAAGUGAUUAGGCCCAACUUAGAAUUAUCCUUAGCAUCGAUAAACCCUAGAUGAUAAACCCAACAUAGGUGGCAAUAGAGCCAAGUGAUUAGGCCCAACCUAGGGUGCCUCGGCAUCGAUAAACCCUAAAUGAUGAAAACUUAACUUGGCUGCCCCGGAUGCCUCGGUGUCGAUGAGAACCUAAAUGAUGAAAGCUUAGGCUUUUAGGGUGCCUCGGUGUCGACAAACCCUAAAUCAUGAGACCAUGAUCUUGUUCCUUGACAAUAACCAUCUUUUUGACCAAACUUUUUUCCUAUUUAGAGAGAAACAUGGCCCACAACGAUGAGGCCGGUGGUUCGGGCGGCAAGCAAUUCUGGGAGCUGUCCCAAGAGAUGGAGGAACAACCUCACCGCUAUGAUGACGCCGCGGAAGACACCGAUCCUGAUUACACAACCCCUAGUGGCGUCGGGGAUGACACCACUGAUGGUGCCGCCGAGGAUGCCACCACUGAUGAUGGCGGCG
This 603-nucleotide long non-coding RNA is filed under the name Triticum aestivum (bread wheat). Its description in RNAcentral is "long non-coding RNA (TAES_LNC007446)". The record is from RNAcentral. Lineage: Eukaryota; Viridiplantae; Streptophyta; Magnoliopsida; Poales; Poaceae.